RNAcentral lists this transfer RNA (60 nucleotides) under Hydatigera sp. HCFr. RNAcentral's name for it is "tRNA-Cys". The record is from RNAcentral. Lineage: Eukaryota; Metazoa; Platyhelminthes; Cestoda; Cyclophyllidea; Taeniidae.
AAGUAUGUACUAAAGUUAGUUUUGCAAAAACUGAUUAGAAUUAAAUUAAUUCCAUGCUUU